GUCCUCGUAGCUCACCUGGACAGAGCGGCAGAUUCCUAAUCUGCAGGUAGUAGGUUCGAGCCCUACCGAGGACG
RNAcentral lists this transfer RNA (74 nucleotides) under Deferribacteraceae bacterium. RNAcentral describes it as "tRNA-Arg". It matches the Rfam family "tRNA". Rfam says of the family: Transfer RNA (tRNA) molecules are approximately 80 nucleotides in length. The record is from RNAcentral. Lineage: Bacteria; Pseudomonadati; Deferribacterota; Deferribacteres; Deferribacterales; Deferribacteraceae.